RNAcentral lists this long non-coding RNA (909 nucleotides) under Homo sapiens (human). RNAcentral describes it as "HSALNT0376224". Lineage: Eukaryota; Metazoa; Chordata; Mammalia; Primates; Hominidae. The record is from RNAcentral.
CCACAUGCCCGGCCCAUGUUAUUAUUUUAAACUCAAACAGAAAAAAAGAAUUCAAGCAUGAGAUCCCAGAACAAGAGCAUUAAAGGAGAGAAAUGAAGUCAUGAAGACAACAAAAUAUCCGGAUAAAGGCAACUGACCAGACUUGAAUACUUAUCCCAAGAAACCAGGAACUGUUUACAUGUUGGUAUUUCCCAUUGCUUCCAAAAUCCAAGAAUCAUAGACCAUCGAGAACUGCUCUGUGCCAGGCUCAGUGUAAGGCUCAGUAGUCACAGACCUCUUCCUCAAUAAAGGUAGAUGUAAACACACUCCUCUGAGUCUCCUCUAUCAUACCGCUUAUUAGGUGAUAUUGUCAGGUACAUGCUGGGAACAUUAAGGAGGUAGGAGAUGGCAUCUUGGAAAGCUUCAGGAAUGAAGUGUGAAUUAAAUCUCAGAUAAUGAGUCACAGCUGGCCAGAUAAUUAGGAAAAGCAUAUGGACAGGCACAGAGGUACGAAGAGGGUCCCUCUUGGCAGAAUGAAGCAACAGGCUGCCUUUUGACUGAGGCUCCACAUUGGCGAAGGAACUUCGAUGUGUACACAGUCGCUGGGAUCAACUCACAGGACUAUUAAUAAAAAGGAAGAUAUUCAUCAUACAAAUCUAAACUCAUUUCAUCAACUGCUUGUGUUCAUCCAGCUCUUUCGACUCCGUCCAUGAACACUCUAUCUCCUCUCAACAAUGAUUUGGGCUGUGUUUUGGAUCCAGCUGCUUAAGAAGGAAUGACUGAGGAGAAGUCAAUUGGGCCAAAAUUAUUCUAGGAGGAUCCCAUCUAGGAUACCAUGCUACAUUUAGUCAUCGUGCCUUCUUAGGCUUCUCUCUGUUAUGACAGUUUUUUAGACUUGCCUUGUUUUUGUCAUAAGUCUUUUGUUGUUGU